CUUGCUUCUCUUGAGAGCGGCGGACGGGUGAGUAAUGCCUAGGAAUCUGCCUGGUAGUGGGGGAUAACGUUCGGAAACGGACGCUAAUACCGCAUACGUCCUACGGGAGAAAGCAGGGGACCUUCGGGCCUUGCGCUAUCAGAUGAGCCUAGGUCGGAUUAGCUAGUUGGUGGGGUAAUGGCUCACCAAGGCGACGAUCCGUAACUGGUCUGAGAGGAUGAUCAGUCACACUGGAACUGAGACACGGUCCAGACUCCUACGGGAGGCAGCAGUGGGGAAUAUUGGACAAUGGGCGAAAGCCUGAUCCAGCCAUGCCGCGUGUGUGAAGAAGGUCUUCGGAUUGUAAAGCACUUUAAGUUGGGAGGAAGGGUUGUAGAUUAAUACUCUGCAAUUUUGACGUUACCGACAGAAUAAGCACCGGCUAACUCUGUGCCAGCAGCCGCGGUAAUACAGAGGGUGCAAGCGUUAAUCGGAAUUACUGGGCGUAAAGCGCGCGUAGGUGGUUUGUUAAGUUGGAUGUGAAAUCCCCGGGCUCAACCUGGGAACUGCAUUCAAAACUGACUGACUAGAGUAUGGUAGAGGGUGGUGGAAUUUCCUGUGUAGCGGUGAAAUGCGUAGAUAUAGGAAGGAACACCAGUGGCGAAGGCGACCACCUGGACUAAUACUGACACUGAGGUGCGAAAGCGUGGGGAGCAAACAGGAUUAGAUACCCUGGUAGUCCACGCCGUAAACGAUGUCAACUAGCCGUUGGAAGCCUUGAGCUUUUAGUGGCGCAGCUAACGCAUUAGUUGACCGCCUGGGGAGUACGGCCGCAGGUUAAACUC
Molecule: ribosomal RNA, 824 nt
Filed under: uncultured bacterium
Lineage: Bacteria
Description: bacterial SSU rRNA
Rfam family: Bacterial small subunit ribosomal RNA
Source: RNAcentral